GGAUAAUGUUAUUCUAAUCUCUACAGAUUGAAGUCUUUUGCAGAAACCUCCCCAGAAACUCCUAGAGUAUUUACAAUCCAGAGGAUGGGCCAGUCAUGCACAGAAAGUCCAGGGACCAGGCGGCACCAUAACAUUACUGGGCAUGGUCAGGUUAAGUAAGACCAAGGUUUUGCCAACAGCUGUGACCAUCAAAAUCCAGACAUACCCACAGGCCUCUGUAUAGUUUGGAUCUGUGUCCCUGCCUGAAUCUCAAAUCUAACUGUAAUCUGCAGUGUUGGAGGUGAGGCCUGGUGGGAGGUGAUUGGAUCAUGGAGGUGGUCCCUCAUGAAUGGCUGAGCACUAUCCCCUCUGCGCUGUUCUUGUGAUAGUGAGAGCUCUCACAAGAUCUAGUUGUUUAAAAGUGUGCAGGCCGGGUGCGGUGGCUCACGCAUGUAAUCUCAGCACUUUGGGAGGCCGAGGCAGGCAGAUAACGAGGUCAGGAGAUCGAGACAAUCCUGGCUAACAUGGUGAAACCCCAUCUCUACUAAAAAUACAAAAAUUAGCUGGGCGUCGUGGCACGUGCCUGUAGUCCCAGCUACUUGGGAGACCAAGUCAGGAGAAUCACUUGAACCCGGGAGGUGAAAGUUGCAGUGAGCCGAGAUCGCACCAUUGCACUCCAGCCUGGGCAACAGAGUGAGACUCCAUUUCAAAAAAAAAGUAUGUAGCAUCUCUCUCCUCUCUCUCUUGUUCCUGUUCCAGUCAUGUAAGAUGUGCCUGCCUGCUUCCUCUUCCCCUUCCACCAUGAUUUUAAGCUCCCUAAGGCCAGCAGUGUGAGAAUGGACUAAUAUACCUUGUUUUAUGAAACGGCUGUAUCUGCAAAGGGAUCCGCAACACAGAAGGAGGCAGGAAACCAAAGAAUGAGACAGACAAAUCCAGUUUGUCAGUAAAGGGUAAUUUAUUGGGGGGAAUUUGUGGACAGAAGCAUGGUCUUGAGUGGUAGCAAGACAGGUAGUUCCCCAGGCUGUUACUGCCAAGAUUUAGGGCUUACUUAGUAUAGGAAAAGGGUAAAUAUGCACUAUAGGAAUGUGCAGGACAUUUAAGGUCAGCCUUCCAGAAAGAAAAUGAGGUGCUCAUCGUAGCCUGUAGUUUGUAUGAUGACAUAUAGGUUGCUUUGACCUAAGGAGAAGAUUUACAGUAAGUAUGUGCUCUUACACAAGAAACAGUAGAUCAAGUAGAAAUCUUAAAGGCAUUCCCAGAAAUCGGGUUAAUCCAAAGUCAACAUGGUGGAUUCGCAUCCAAGAUGGAGCUGCUUUAGCCUCCACAGGCUCCUUCCCCAGACCCGUGGAGCCCUUAGGGUUUAGAGGACCAGCGUAGAAAUUCUCAUCCAGGCAGUUUCUUCCUUUUGGUUCUCGAAAGGGAACUGAGUGUACACAUCUGCUUAUUAUUCUCAAAUAAUUUCUUCUUUCACCUUAUUAUUUCUCAAAUCUUUCCUUCUUUUCCCUCUCCACAGAAAAAGUUCCAGAAAAUUUAAAAAUCUUUUCAGAAAAGACAGUACACUGAGCAAGAUUUGCACAUCAAGAAAAAGUAGAGACAGGAGAUGAGAGUCAAGUGUUUUGGGGGGUAGAGAAAAAGACUAGGCUGGAAGGGGUACUGGGCCACUUGUGCGGGUGUGUACACCUGUGUGUGUGUGUGUGGUGUGUGCGUGUGUGUGGUGUGUAACAUUUCUACUUGAAAAACUCCAGCCCUCUCUAGCCUGGAUUAAUAGAAAGAUGUGUGUUUGCCCAUGGGCAGGUGGGGUGCUUGGGGGCAGGAGACCCUGGAAUGGGAUGCGGUGAUGGCAGCUGGGCUGUUGGGCAGGCGGGAUGAGCUGCAGAAGGAGCAGGGCUCUGGUUCCCAGGCUUGUCCAUCCUGCUGGCAUGGAGCCACCUCCAGGCUGUGGGGUGGGUGUGGUAGGUGGGGCUUCCUUCCUUCCCCAGACUAGCCCAGCAAUUCCCCAGGAAGCCAGACCUCUGCUACCCUUCUUUCUGCACCUCUACAGGGAGAGUCAUCCUGUCUGCACCAAGGAUGGGAAAAGCAGAGGAAUCCCACAGGCCAGAUCUUAGAAUCUUGCCUGGAAAUGAGGAAGUGGCAUGUCACCACCCAGUACCUUAGGAAGACCCUGCCCUGUCAGUCAGAGAUGGCAUCUUGGGUGACCACUCCCUGAGUGGAGGAAGAGAGGGUCCUGUGCAGGGAGCUUCCUUGGUGGAUCAUGGGGAUGAUGGUGACAGCAAUGCUGAGAGCCACAUGAAACCGAGUCCUCAGGAGGCCCUGUGAGGAUGGUGUGGUUCCCAUCACACUUCCCUGACAAGAGGGAAUUAUGAUCUUCAGACUCAGGAGAAAUAUGGGGUUUGUUUCAAGUCCAUGGAGCUCCACAGUUCUUUUGAGAGCUACAGCCUGUCCUGCUGCUGAGCCCCAUCCCAGUAGGCCAGCCACGCCCUCAAGGCCAAGAAGACCAAGCCAUGAAGAAUCUCAGGCCCACUGAAUGCCCGGGUGGCAGGGGCAGAGUGCCUCAGGGCUCAGGGAAGUUUGGGCUGAGUGUGUGCUCUGGGAGCCAGACAGCUAGCUGCACAGGGCUCCCAGCUCCACCAUGACCAGCCCUGUAACUGGGGCAGGGGACUCACUCCUGUGGUACUUGAGCAUCAUUGUCAUAUAAUUAAUGUGUCUGUCCAAUCCUUUUCUCUUUUUAUCUCUCUUCCUCUAUAAUCGCCAUGUACUACUGAUCUGUUAGUGAUUGUGUUCAAAUGAAUAAACAUAUGUUAAAUAGUG
Molecule: long non-coding RNA, 2784 nt
Filed under: Homo sapiens (human)
Lineage: Eukaryota; Metazoa; Chordata; Mammalia; Primates; Hominidae
Description: HSALNT0123239
Source: RNAcentral